Molecule: ribosomal RNA, 407 nt
Filed under: uncultured bacterium
Lineage: Bacteria
Description: partial 16S ribosomal RNA
Rfam family: Bacterial small subunit ribosomal RNA
Source: RNAcentral
AUCGAACGCUGGCGGCAGGCCUAACACAUGCAAGUCGAGCGGAGCGGCGGACGGGUGAGUAAUGCCUAGUAAUCUGCCUGGUAGUGGGGGAUAACGUCCGGACACGGGCGCUAAUACCGCAUACUAUCAGAUGAGCCUAGGGCGGAUUAGCUAGUUGGUGGCGUAAAGGCCUACCAAGGCGACGAUCCGUCACUGGCCUGAGAGGAUGAUCAGUCACACUGGAACUGAGACACGGGCCAGACUCCUACGGGAGGGAGCAGUGGGGAAUAUUGGGCAAUGGGCGAAAGCCUGAUCCAGCCAUGCCGCGUGUGUGAAGAAGGUCUUCGGAUUGUAAAGCUCUUUAAGUUGGGAGGCGUUACCUACAGAAUAAGCACCGGCUAACUACGUGCCAGCAGCCGCGGUAAUAC